RNAcentral lists this ribosomal RNA (400 nucleotides) under uncultured Propionibacteriales bacterium. RNAcentral describes it as "partial 16S ribosomal RNA". Lineage: Bacteria; Bacillati; Actinomycetota; Actinomycetes; Propionibacteriales. The record is from RNAcentral.
CGGGAACGUAUUCACCGCAGCCGUUGCUGAUCUGCGAUUACUAGCGACUCCGACUUCAUGGGGUCGAGUUGCAGACCCCAAUCCGAACUGAGACUGGCUUUUUGGGAUUCGCUCCACCUUGCGGUAUCGCAGCCCUUUGUACCAGCCAUUGUAGCAUGCGUGAAGCCCUGGACUUAAGGGGCAUGAUGACUUGACGUCAUCCCCACCUUCCUCCGAGUUGACCCCGGCGGUCUCCUAUGAGUCCCCGGCAUUAUCCGCUGGCAACAUAGGACGAGGGUUGCGCUCGUUGCGGGACUUAACCCAACAUCUCACGACACGAGCUGACGACAGCCAUGCACCACCUGUAUACCGACCUUUGCGGGGGCUGCAUCUCUGCAGCUUUCCGGCAUAUGUCAAACCC